UACGUAGGGUGCGAGCGUUGUCCGGAAUUAUUGGGCGUAAAGAGCGUGUAGGCGGCCAGUUAGGUCUGGUGUGAAAACUCGAGGCUUAACCUCGAGAUGUCAUCGGAAACCAUCUGGCUAGAGUCCGGAAGAGGAGAGUGGAAUUCCUGGUGUAGCGGUGAAAUGCGCAGAUAUCAGGAAGAACACCGAUUGCGAAGGCAGCUCGCUGGAACGUUACUGACGCUGAGGCGCGAAAGCGUGGGGAGCAAACAGG
This 253-nucleotide ribosomal RNA is filed under the name uncultured bacterium. RNAcentral describes it as "partial 16S ribosomal RNA". It matches the Rfam family "Bacterial small subunit ribosomal RNA", at positions 524 to 776 of the family's 1533-position model. The record is from RNAcentral.